Molecule: non-coding RNA, 114 nt
Organism: Acanthosepion pharaonis
Lineage: Eukaryota; Metazoa; Mollusca; Cephalopoda; Sepiida; Sepiidae
Source: the annotation of a GenBank genome assembly
UUACGGCCACAUCCCGUUGAAACACCUGUUCCCGUACAAGCACCGAAGUUAAGCAAUGUCAAGCCUGGUCAGCAACUAGAUGGGUGACCGUAUAAGAAUAUCAAGUGAUGUAAG